RNAcentral lists this ribosomal RNA (253 nucleotides) under uncultured bacterium. RNAcentral's name for it is "partial 16S ribosomal RNA". It matches the Rfam family "Bacterial small subunit ribosomal RNA", at positions 524 to 776 of the family's 1533-position model. The record is from RNAcentral.
UACAGAGGGUGCGAGCGUUAAUCGGAUUUACUGGGCGUAAAGCGUGCGUAGGCGGCUUUUUAAGUCGGAUGUGAAAUCCCUGAGCUUAACUUAGGAAUUGCAUUCGAUACUGGAAAGCUAGAGUAUGGGAGAGGAUGGUAGAAUUCCAGGUGUAGCGGUGAAAUGCGUAGAGAUCUGGAGGAAUACCGAUGGCGAAGGCAGCCAUCUGGCCUAAUACUGACGCUGAGGUACGAAAGCAUGGGGAGCAAACAGG